Molecule: non-coding RNA, 3216 nt
Organism: Triticum urartu
Lineage: Eukaryota; Viridiplantae; Streptophyta; Magnoliopsida; Poales; Poaceae
Source: RefSeq, a predicted model, not a curated record
CAUAGAUUGUAGGAGAAAUUGUAUAUGCCAAACUGUAUAUAUAUAGAUAUAUACAUGUGUAUGUGUGAAUGGUCGUGCAAGACAUUCAAUGAUAUAUAUAUAUAUAUAUAUAUAUAUAUAUAUAUAGGACUAUUUUGUUACUAGUAACAGAAUAAUAUUCUGUUACUCCAGCGUCCUAUAGAGAACGAGAUGAAUUUUCUUCAAACCAGUACGCCCGUGCGAAAAAAAUUCAAAUCACCCACUCACAACCAGCUCUUCCCACUCGUCGUCCUUCCCCUCAGCCCCGCGCGCCACCGACAAACCUCCACCCCGCGCGCCCCCUGGCCAGCCUCCACCCCGCGCGCCACCGGCGAACGUCCAUCCCGCGCUCCCACCGGCCACCCUUCACCCCGCGCGCCGCCGGCCAACCUCCAUCCCGCGCUCCCGCAAGCCACUCUCCACCCCGCGCGCCCGCCGGCCAACCUCCACCCCCCACGCCCCCGGCUACCCUCCACCCGGCGCGCCCGCCAGCCAUCCUCCAUCCUGCGCGCCCUCGGCCACCCUCCAUCUCACGUUCCCGCCAGCCUUCCUCCAGUCGCGCCACCCACCUGCCACCAACAUCGCCCAUCGCCUGCCUCCGUCGUGUACGGGACUGGAUAUGCCCCCCGGCACCUCUUCCUCCCCCUGCCCCCGCACAUGGAAGCUAGUGGCUGGUGCCAUUCGAUGCUGCUCUGCUCCAUCAACUUCAACCACCGGUUCAUGAGGUGCACGCCAUGUGUUUGCUAAAUUGACUCAGUGCAGUGGAGCAUCUUUUUUUACUUUGUUUCAUGUUCAUUUGUAGGUAGCUUGUUCUUGCCAAAUGUUGUAGCUUAGAUGACUUCAGAAUGUUUAUCGUCCUAUCAUCACAUAAGUCCAUGUAUUACUACCAUGGGAGUUCAAAGAAAUUCCUGUAACACGCGCCGUGCCCCGGCCCCAUGUUCCGGGGUUGCCCUCCACAGCCUCAGCACGCAGGCCGUUCACCUCCGCCACCGAGGUCGUUCACCUCCGCCACCGAUGUCCGUUCAACACCACAAGGAGAACCCUGUGUGUCAACACCCCUGUCAACCCCGUGCGACUUUGUUCUCUCAGCUUCAAAGAGGGUCAGUUCAGAACUUUGAACGCCCAGUGGUUCAGUUCAGAACUUGGCCUGGUGAUACAUUUGGUUUCUUUUCUACAGCUCACACAACCCAAAUAACAGUUGAUCAUUUGAUAAAUUUUGGGUUCAGCUUCACACUAUGCAGGAGUGCAUAUUCUUCUCCUUGUAAGUUCUAACAAUAGAUGGGUGGUUUUGCUAAUCAGUUCAAGCUCAAAUAACAAAAUUCCUCGCUGGAUUGCAUCGUUCUUAUCUAUUGUUUUCUUUGCUCAAUUGAUAUCAGCCACUGUAAGUCCUUUUCUCCAGCCAUGAUGGAGACCCAUUCAAAUUAGUUGUUCUAUGUGUACACAUUCAGAUAUACUAGUUGAUCUGCUGAAAGAUACGAUAUGUGUACUUCUGAUAAUCUCAAACAUGUUUUACUCAACUUUAGAAAACAUGUAAUAUUGUUGUGCUGCUUUGCAGUGUCUCCAGCAAUCCUACUUCUCCAUGACGACAAGGACGACGUCGCCAUGCAUGCACACUCUCCUUUCUUUCUACUUCCGAGACGGUGAGGAGCUCUAGCAGGUGGCCGCCGGUGGGAUCCGCAGGUGCAACCUUGCCAGCAGCAUGUUGGCGGUUCCUCUAUUUCUCUUGUUGCUGCUCCAAGCCGCAACACCUCAUGUCGUCAUCAUCUCUGCAGGGCCACCGCUCCAACCUGUCCCCUGUCGCAGCCCCACCACUCAUUGCCGAUGCACUCCAACCCGAGGACCUCCAAGAUGGAGGUCGCCUCGCAGCCUAGCGACGAGUUCAAGGACGGACACCCCAGGUUCUCAAGCAGCAAAGUUAUCGCACAAAGUCGAACUUGCUGCUGCACCAUCUUCACCAUGUCAAACUUGCAGCAGCCAGGGGAUCCACAAUCAUUGGGAGCUGUCCAAGUCGAGCUAUCACCGCAGUCCAAGUGUUACUGCGACUACCAUUUUCACCCAGCGCUGCACCCAUUGAGCACCCACACAGGUUCUUCGCGCGCUAGCGCCGCUGCCGGCCCCGUACAACUAAGUCCUUGGCCCACUGCACGCCCUGCUGCCCUCGACCUCCCUCUCACAGGCAUGCUACCCCAACUUUCAUUUCGAUUCUUAGUUCAAGUUGUGUGUUCUUAUCUUUGCAUUGUGCUUUAAGUGUGCAAAAUCUUGAGGAAAUCCUGCAAUAUUAUGUGUGCAAUAAAGGUAAUUAAGUGCCUUUAGAAAUUCUGACAGUCCAUCCCAGACUAAGCAAAUAAUACAUGCUAGUGUUGGUUUUUUAAGAGAAUUUAGUAUUAGUUGAUCAACAUUUUGAUGCUUUUUCACCAUGUCUGCACUUCGUUAUAGUUAAGCAUUGAUCCAUUUCUCAGCUGCAAGUAAAUAAUGAUCUUGCACUUCACUAUAAUGCCCUCCCCCUCUGUUUCUCUUCCUCUCUAAAUCCCCUUUCUAUAACUAAUUUAUUUUCUCCCUGAAUGCAGCAUGAGGGAGGCUGGAGCGACUGCAGAUCGGUGACAAGAGCCACUUCAGUUCUGUUGUUCGUGUAUUGGAAGUACGUAUCCUCUAUCCGGGCAGGAGAUAGAGGUAAUUUCUCCCCUAAUGCAACCUAUUUUGUAAGUAGCCUGAGACCCAUCAUGUCCUAUAUACAGAUUCGGAGUUUAACACAUCAAUGGAAGUUUGUUCUAAAAACUGAAAUUGUUCUGGAUGUACUGAUAGAUUAGUUGUUAAUUAUUGUAGUGUUUCGUUCUUGCAGAAUAAAAAUAAUAUGUAUGGGUUACUUCUUGGCCCAGCUGAGAGAACCCUCAUGUUGAAAAGUAUAAAGAAGUUUCGAAGCAAUUCCUAGUGUCUUUCGAAGCAUUCAUGGUUAAAAGCAACGGCAAUCUCCUCCGUUCAAGUUGAGCACUGGUCAUCGUCCAAGUUGAGCGCUAGAUGUCGUCCAAGUUCAAAGAGGGUUGUAUGCAAGUACAGAAGUUUGUUUUAGUGAGAAAAAUUGCGGGUUUUUGGACAAUAUUAUGUAUGUUUGAUUUGCUCAACCUUAGAACUUGGAGAUAUCCACUCUAUUCUUCUAUGAUGAAGGCACACAUGAGAUCAUGUGCAAUGGUUAUCCCCCUA